CUUAUAAAGGAUGAAGGGGUUGUUAGUCACGACCAAGCCAUCCACGUCGGCUAUGAACAGUUAGCAAGCGGGCAGCGAGCGCGAGCGGGUAGCGAGAGAAAAAGGGUACACGUGCGCUGCGAGAGAAAAUAUCUCGUCUCUCUCCCGAGCGGGCAGCGAGAGAAAAAGGGUACACGUCCGCUGCGAGAGAAAAUAUCUCGUCUCUCUCCCUCCUCCCUUCCCGUCGCCUCCUCCUCUUCCCCGUCCCUCACGGCCUCCUCGCCCCCUCCGCCUUCAGCACCUCUUCCUCCCCUUCCUCUCCUCCUUCCCUGCCUCCGGUUCCAGGCAUGGAGGGAUGAACCCGGAGAGCUGUAGCCGGUGGAUGCAGCGAUGUACGGGGAGGCGAUGGCGAAGGGGAGUUUCGGUCAAGUGGAAUCUGAUGGGUUGCAGGGCGAGGAGCAGGGAGUAGCCUGGCGUAGAUACAGAAUAUCGGCCUCUCCCCACGACCCACCUCUCCCACCAGAGCACAACUAGUCAUCUAGGGUUUGGAUGGGUCUGGGUUCCUACAACGAUGGCAGCAGAGGCGACAAAGACCAGUUUGCAACCUCGCCGAACUGUGUUACUGAACUGAAAGUUUAGGGACGGCAGUAGUUCUACCACCGAUGGUGUUGCAUGUAAGCUGGAUGUUCUCAUUGUUCUGUUGGCUCUGAUCGGUGUGGAUGCUAUGAAGUUAAGGUUCUUAAGAUGAUUGAUGUUUAUAGAGGUGAUGCAGGAUGUGAGGUACAACUAUCAAAGUGACAUUAAUUUUGGUUUUGCUUCCUAUCCGCAGCCUCUUCUACACCAGAAAAGGAAAACACUCGACGAUCUGGCUCUGUCUCAGGUAUAUGCUCCCUCGCCCGCAAGAUCCGCUCGCUCCCAUCUAUGCAUCACGGCAGCACUUCAGCUCCUCUUGUGGAUUCUCACCAGAUCAGGCCACCUCACUCACCUUCAGGCUUAAGCAAUGCGUUUUGUUCUGCCCUAGCGCCUAGGUGCUUACACCCUUUCCCCCUACUGAUUUAAGAGGUGUGGAGAUUUUUUAAGGAGGUGUUGCUCGCUUUGUUGUUCAGAUCACAGAAGAAGUAUGUACAAGUAUACAUCACCGCUGUUACUUGCUUGCAAUUACAGUGUAUUUUAAAACACACACUUGGCGAACAUCUGCUCGUGCUUACAAUGCUCUAUGAGGGAAAUAAUAGAUCAACACUUGCUUUUUUGCUCCUUUUGAACAGUUGUCAGGACCUCACCGGCAGAUCCCUCAGCUAUCAGGGAAAGUAGUCAUCAGCGGAGAUUGAGAGUGCCUCUCCGGCAAGAGUGCUCGUGUCGUGGUGGUUUCCCACCAGCAGCAUGGGGGAGACGGUGUCCUCUGCAGCUAGGUCUACUUGCUAGCGACCUCACCGUCACCAGCCCAUCUGCAGCCUACUUGAAUGGAUAUGGUUCCUGAGAGACCAUUUCUUAUGCAUCAGGUCCUGAAGGUGGAUGAUGCUUGUUUAGAUAUCUAUGAUUCCAAAUUAUUCAAAACGGUUCAUGUUAUACUGGAUGCUAUUUUAUUGAGAGUGGCUUCGAACAAUAUGGCAUGAACAUAUUUGUUUUCUCUUUGGCCAAUAAUGAAAUGAUCUGUGUGCAUA
Triticum aestivum (bread wheat) is the source of this 1640-nucleotide long non-coding RNA. RefSeq lists it as uncharacterized. The transcript is spliced from 8 exons. Lineage: Eukaryota; Viridiplantae; Streptophyta; Magnoliopsida; Poales; Poaceae. The record is from RefSeq and is a predicted model, not a curated record.